AGUCCUGUAGCUCAACGGUAGUAGCGUUUGCCUUACAAGCAAGGUGUUGCGGGUUCAAAUCCUGCCAGGACUACCA
RNAcentral lists this transfer RNA (76 nucleotides) under Microcoleus sp. SM1_3_4. RNAcentral's name for it is "tRNA-Val". It matches the Rfam family "tRNA". Rfam says of the family: Transfer RNA (tRNA) molecules are approximately 80 nucleotides in length. Their secondary structure includes four short double-helical elements and three loops (D, anti-codon, and T loops). Further hydrogen bonds mediate the characteristic L-shaped molecular structure. tRNAs have two regions of fundamental functional importance: the anti-codon, which is responsible for specific mRNA codon recognition, and the 3' end, to which the tRNAs corresponding amino acid is attached (by aminoacyl-tRNA synthetases). tRNAs cope with the degeneracy of the genetic code in two manners: having more than one tRNA (with a specific anti-codon) for a particular amino acid; and 'wobble' base-pairing, i.e. permitting non-standard base-pairing at the 3rd anti-codon position. The record is from RNAcentral. RNAcentral also lists the same sequence under 1 other name. Lineage: Bacteria; Bacillati; Cyanobacteriota; Cyanophyceae; Oscillatoriales; Microcoleaceae.